This 21-nucleotide non-coding RNA is filed under the name Caenorhabditis elegans. Lineage: Eukaryota; Metazoa; Nematoda; Chromadorea; Rhabditida; Rhabditidae. The record is from RNAcentral.
UUUGAAUUGAAUUUUAUGAAU